This 450-nucleotide ribosomal RNA is filed under the name uncultured Glomeromycotina. RNAcentral describes it as "SSU rRNA". It matches the Rfam family "Eukaryotic small subunit ribosomal RNA", at positions 569 to 1018 of the family's 1831-position model. The record is from RNAcentral. Lineage: Eukaryota; Fungi; Glomeromycota.
AGCAGCCGCGGUAAUUCCAGCUCCAAUAGCGUAUAUUAAAGUUGUUGCAGUUAAAAAGCUCGUAGUUGAAUUUCGGGAUUGACACAUCGGUCGUGCCUUAAGGGGUAUGAACUGGUGUAGUCAAUUUCUCGCCUUCUGGAGAACCGCGAUGCCCUUAAUUGGGUGUCGCGGGGAACCAGGACCUUUACUUUGAAAAAUUAGAGUGUUUAAAGCAGGCAUUUUGCUUGAAUACAUUAGCAUGGAGUAAUAAAAUAGGACGGCAUGAUUCUAUUUUGUUGGUUUCUAGGAUCACCGUAAUGAUUAAUAGGGAUAGUUGGGGGCAUUAGUAUUCAAUUGUCAGAGGUGAAAUCCUUGGAUUUAUUGAAGACUAACUACUGCGAAAGCAUUUGCCAAGGAUGUUUUCAUUAAUCAAGAACGAAAGUUAGGGGAUCGAAGACGAUCAGAUACCGU